AAUAGAUACCCAGGUAGUCCACCCGUAAACGUUGGGAACUAGUUGUGGGGUCCUUUCCACGGAUUCCGUGACGCAGCUAACGCAUUAAGUUCCCCGCCUGGGGAGUACGGCCGCAAGGCUAAAACUCAAAGGAAUUGACGGGGACCCGCACAAGCGGCGGAGCAUGCGGAUUAAUUCGAUGCAACGCGAAGAACCUUACCAAGGCUUGACAUACACCAGAACACCCUAGAAAUAGGGGACUCUUUGGACACUGGUGAACAGGUGGUGCAUGGUUGUCGUCAGCUCGUGUCGUGAGAUGUUGGGUUAAGUCCCGCAACGAGCGCAACCCUCGUUCUAUGUCGCCAGCACGUAAUGGUGGGAACUCAUGGGAUACUGCCGGGGUCAACUCGGAGGAAGGUGGGGAUGACGUCAAAUCAUCAUGCCCCUUAUGUCUUGGGCUUCACGCAUGCUACAAUGGCCGGUACAAAGGGCUGCAAUACCGUGAGGUGGAGCGAAUCCCAAAAAGCCGGUCCCAGUUCGGAGUUGAGGUCUGCAACUCGACCUC
Molecule: ribosomal RNA, 544 nt
Filed under: uncultured bacterium
Lineage: Bacteria
Description: bacterial SSU rRNA
Rfam family: Bacterial small subunit ribosomal RNA
Source: RNAcentral